Molecule: non-coding RNA, 29 nt
Filed under: Mus musculus (house mouse)
Lineage: Eukaryota; Metazoa; Chordata; Mammalia; Rodentia; Muridae
Source: RNAcentral
UGCUAUGGAAGGAAACGGUAGAGACUGCA